CAGUCGCCACGGUAACACGAAGGGGGCUAGCGUUGUUCGGAUUUACUGGGCGUAAAGGGCGCGUAGGCGGACUGAUAAGUCAGGGGUGAAAUCCCAAGGCUCAACCUUGGAACUGCCUUUGAUACUGUUUGUCUUGAGUUCGAGAGAGGUAAGUGGAACUGCGAGUGUAGAGGUGAAAUUCGUAGAUAUUCGCAAGAACACCAGUGGCGAAGGCGGCUUACUGGCUCGAUACUGACGCUGAGGCGCGAAAGCGUGGGGAGCAAACAGGAUUAGAUACCCCAGUAGUCCCUGUCUCUUAUAC
This 301-nucleotide ribosomal RNA is filed under the name uncultured bacterium. RNAcentral describes it as "partial 16S ribosomal RNA". It matches the Rfam family "Bacterial small subunit ribosomal RNA", at positions 509 to 807 of the family's 1533-position model. The record is from RNAcentral.